CUACAAAGGAAUUGAGGGCCCCGCACAAGCAGCGGAGCGUGUGGUUAAUUCGAUGUUACACGAAGAACCUUACCAGGGUUUGACAUGCAAGUGGUAGGAAGCCGAAAGGUGACCGACCUUCGGGGAGCUUGCACAGGUGCUGCAUGGCUGUCGUCAGCUCGUGUCGUGAGAUGUUCGGUUAAGUCCGCUAACGAGCGCAACCCUCGCUGUGUGUUAUAUGUGUCACACGGGACUGCCGGUCUUAAGCCGGAGGAAGGUGGGGAUGAUGUUAAGUCAGCAUGGCCUUUAUAUCCUGGGCUACACACACGCUACAAUGGCCAACACAAUAGGUUGCUAAGCCGCGAGGUGGCGCCAAUCCAUAAAGUUGGUCUCAGUUCAGAUUGUAGGCUGCAACCCGCCUGCAUGAAGAUGGAGUUGCUAGUAACCGCAGGUCAGCUAUACUGCGGUGAAUACGUUCCCGGGGCUU
Molecule: ribosomal RNA, 466 nt
Filed under: uncultured Leptolinea sp.
Lineage: Bacteria; Bacillati; Chloroflexota; Anaerolineae; Anaerolineales; Anaerolineaceae
Description: bacterial SSU rRNA
Rfam family: Bacterial small subunit ribosomal RNA
Source: RNAcentral